This 342-nucleotide unclassified non-coding RNA is filed under the name soil metagenome. RNAcentral describes it as "partial contains 5.8S ribosomal RNA, internal transcribed spacer 2, and large subunit ribosomal RNA". The stretch from base 1 to 120 matches the Rfam family "5.8S ribosomal RNA", at positions 35 to 154 of the family's 154-position model. The record is from RNAcentral.
GAUGAAGAACGCAGCGAAAUGCGAUAAGUAAUGUGAAUUGCAGAAUUCAGUGAAUCAUCGAAUCUUUGAACGCACAUUGCGCCCGCCAGCACUCUGGCGGGCAUGCCUGUUCGAGGGUCAUUUCAACCAUCAAGCCCCCAGGGGCUUGUGCUGGGGCCCUGCGGCUGCCCGCAGGCCCUGAAAACCAGUGGCGGGCUCGCUAGUCACACCGAGCGCAGUAGCACAUCUCGCUCAGGGCGUGCGGCGGGCUCCUGCCGUGAAACCCCCCACUGUAACCCCAAAGGUUGACCUCGGAUCAGGUAGGAAUACCCGCUGAACUUAAGCAUAUCAAUAAGCGGAGGA